GGGGGUGUACCGGUUUCGACGGGGGUAGAUGUGGUGUGAUAAGCGAGCUGGGAUCCCGCCAACCCCAUUAAACGGUGGAAACGCGUUAUAAACGCAGACGAUUCUUACGCUUUAGCAGCUUAAAUGCUAACGUCCUUCUUCUCCCUUCCUGCAGGAGGGGAAUGGACGACGCUUGCAGGAUACUUUAGUACCAUAUCCCGGGGGUGCUAGGGGAAUUCUACGGGAUAGGGUGUUCUGUAGCCCGCCGAUAGGCAACAGAGCUCCGAAAUAAAGUAUGUCGGCUGCGCUCGGAGAAAGUUGCAUUGCAAUGCUUUCGGACAGGGGUUCGACUCCCCUCAUCUCCACCA
Molecule: transfer-messenger RNA, 347 nt
Filed under: Acidaminococcaceae
Lineage: Bacteria; Bacillati; Bacillota; Negativicutes; Acidaminococcales
Also listed under: 1 other name
Description: Acidaminococcus sp905213155 Standard tmRNA
Rfam family: transfer-messenger RNA
About the family: Bacterial tmRNA, also known as 10Sa RNA or SsrA, is named for its dual tRNA and mRNA-like properties. Its role is to liberate the mRNA from a stalled ribosome. To accomplish this part of the tmRNA is used as a reading frame that ends in a translation stop signal.
Source: RNAcentral